Molecule: transfer RNA, 56 nt
Filed under: Deinagkistrodon acutus (Chinese moccasin)
Lineage: Eukaryota; Metazoa; Chordata; Lepidosauria; Squamata; Viperidae
Description: tRNA-Ser
Source: RNAcentral
GAGGGGGACACGAAAGCCUGCUAACCCUUCAACCUGGUAAACACACCAGCCCUCUC